RNAcentral lists this non-coding RNA (24 nucleotides) under Arabidopsis thaliana (thale cress). Lineage: Eukaryota; Viridiplantae; Streptophyta; Magnoliopsida; Brassicales; Brassicaceae. The record is from RNAcentral.
GCGGUGGUGCUUCAACUCCAUCUC